Molecule: long non-coding RNA, 767 nt
Filed under: Ovis aries (sheep)
Lineage: Eukaryota; Metazoa; Chordata; Mammalia; Artiodactyla; Bovidae
Description: lncRNA (ENSOARG00000026467.1)
Source: RNAcentral
AUGCCUGGAAUGCCUCUCAGGCUUGCUGGCAUGCCUGGCAUGACCUCCCCUGGCCAUCAGGAGGAGGAGGAUGGACGGUCCCCCACGGGGGGCUUCAGGCCUGGGGCUGCGCUGGGGCUGCCCCCCGGGUCCCCGGCUUGGGGCUCGGUCCCUAGGGGCAGGUGGCCGCCUCUCCGUCCCCCGGGGCCGCCCCCUUUCAGGCCAGCAGCGCUAGAUGCAGGUGACCAGCACGUCCACGCCGGUGCCCAACUCGAUCUCCUCGAAGAGCACGCGGCCCCCGGCGGCCCCAGAGCCCCCGGCCUUGGCGGCAGCCCUCAGCACAGCCUGGGCGUGGCGCAGGAAGUGCUGGUUCCGACGGCGGCCCAGUCGGCGCAGUGCCAGGAUGGCCAGCACGUGGUCCCGCCUGCAGAGACACGCGGGCCCCCGCUGCAGACUCGACAGCUCCAGUGACACCCCGGACCCCAGGGCGAGGGGGACCCCGCGGCUCAGACUGGAAGCGCUAGGGCACCCAGCAUUCCUGGGGGUGCCUGGGUCUUGAAGGGUGCAAAGCUCGUCGGAGAUGGGAAGAGGCAAGCCUGAUGGGAAUGGCCUCUGAGCCCCAGGCAGAGGUUCCAGCGGUUCCGGAAACCUAGUGGACCUAGGGAGGCAGCAGGGCGCCGCGAUGCCCCGAUGCCAGGAGCGGGGCAGGCACGGGAGUCAGAGCCUCUUCCCCUGAGAACCGUGCUGGGGAGCCCCGGCCCCCAGCAAAGCAGCGAGGCCCGCGGGGU